RNAcentral lists this long non-coding RNA (1926 nucleotides) under Pogona vitticeps (central bearded dragon). RNAcentral describes it as "lncRNA (ENSPVIG00000012918.1)". Lineage: Eukaryota; Metazoa; Chordata; Lepidosauria; Squamata; Agamidae. The record is from RNAcentral.
AGCACUGUCUGGUGCUUGACACAGUGUCUGCUAUGAGCUGAUAAGUUAUCGGCUUAGGCGGUGUUUCUUGGGAGGAGUCUUGUCCCCUUGCACUGAAAGGGAUCACGCAUGGGACAAUCAGCCACUAGAAGUGCCUUGGUAGAGAACAUAAGUUUUUUUCCCCCUUAAACUGUCCAUGUUAUGCUUCUUCACAUCUUUUCUUCCUAUGCUGUCUCUCACUCAGGACCUACUGGCUUGGCCUUGCUAAGACUCUUCACAUGUAAUAAACUGAAAACAGGAGCAGAGGAGAAACCAGUACUUAGAUUAGGCAUCCUUCAGUCUCGAGAGACUAUGGUAACAUGCUCUGCAUGGAGGACUUGGAACAACGUCUAGUGUGGAUGAGAAGGCUAAUUCGACAGUGACAAUCCCUUCCACAUUGAAGACAAAUACAAUCUGUACCCCAUCUAGCUCCCUGAUUUUGCUGCUUUCGUGAUUGCCUCUUUGCCUCGGUCUGCUGGACAAGAGUCUCUUCAAAUUGGGAGAAGCCAUGAUGCAACGCCUGUCUCCAGGCUGAAUCCAAUACUACAGUGGAUUUUAUUGUCAGUGGGAUCUAGGAAUGCAAACUUAAGUGAGUAAUACAUUCAACGUCCAAUUGAGUGAAGUAAACGGAUCAUGAAGAGGAAAAUGUAAUAGUAGAUAAAGACUUUUAAAACACUGGUAGGUUUCCCAAAGCAAGCAAAUGAUACAUUUCAAGUUGAAUCAUGCAAACCUUAUUUAAUGUUCUUGAAAAAUCUAUCACAGAACCCACAGUCUGCUGCAAAUGUCCUGUGCCUGCAAAAAGCCUCGUUAGUAGACAACACACACUUCAGUUACAAUUUUGGCCUAAAUAGGAUUUGGUGUAGACUGGCAGGACACACCUUAUGUUCCUGUGCUGGAUUUUUAUCCAUCUGAACUGUCAGAGGAGUACUUCAAACUCAUUAUUUUCAUCUAUGGUUAUUUUUAAAAAGCAUUUUUUUGAUAGAGGAUGCUGAAUCCACAAAAGUUAAUGUUGCUCAUGUACCACUGCAUGCUUACUGUCCAACAAGCACACACUCUCCUGUUGUAGGAAUGGAUGCGCUCCCUCUGAGACUGACAAAUUCUCUUAGGCUGUAGUCCUCUACAGUUUUACCAGAGAAUAAGCUUCAAUUCAGACAGUGAGAUUUACUUUCCAGUAGACAUGCAUCAUGCAUAAGGUUGAGUUGUUACAGUCUCUGAAAGCAAGCAAACAAGCAGGCAAGCAGGCAAGCAAGCAAUGGGCUUUUGUGACUUACAGACAACCACAAUAGCAGGCAAGUAAGCAACGGGCUUUUGUGACUUACAGACAACCACAAUGACCACAACAAAACAUUUGAUGCUUUAUCCCAUACAUUUUUGGCUCCAGUCAGACAGCAAAGGAUCAUUCUGAGAUUUAACUAGAUAAUUAAUUUUCUGCUUUCAAUUCAACUAUCCCCAGAGUUGUGGACUCUUGUUUUCAUGACUUUGCUAAUCUCUACACAUGCUUUAUUUUUCAUCAGCCCCACAGCAAAAGGUUACCAUGUUUUUCUCACUUCAAAGCUUGUCGUAGUCAUUUAGCAGAUUCACUUUAUAAUCCCUCUCUGAAUUACAUGGUUUAACAGGGGCUUCUAAACAGCAGUCCUAGUAGGAGAUUUAGGCAAGGAUUUAAUAGUAAAAGGUUACUUCAGUCUUGUCCUUCCGUGGCCUAUUUUCCAUUGUAUUUGCAUUCAGAGAAGAGAAUGUUUAAAACAAGUAUCAUUAUAGUAGUAAAAGAAGAUUCUUCUAGCUUAUGGUUUACUCUGCAGAUUUCCUUUUCUUCUUGCAAAAUAUUUGAAUGAGAUAACCUACUAUUUCACAUGAUUAUUCCAAACCAUUACUUAAAUUUCUUAAUAAAAAAAACUAGCUUCUUUAACA